GACGAGCCACACGAACGUUAUUCGGAAUUACUGGGCUUAAAGGGUGCGUAGGCGGCGCGGAAAGUUGGGUGUGAAAUCCCUCGGCUCAACCGAGGAACUGCGCUCAAAACUACCGUGCUCGAGGAAGAUAGAGGUGAGCGGAACUCACGGUGGAGCGGUGAAAUGCGUUGAUAUCGUGAGGAACACCCGUGGCGAAAGCGGCUCACUGGGUCUUUUCUGACGCUGAUGCACGAAAGCUAGGGGAGCAAACGGGAUUAGAAACCCGAGUAGUCC
RNAcentral lists this ribosomal RNA (273 nucleotides) under uncultured bacterium. RNAcentral's name for it is "partial 16S ribosomal RNA". It matches the Rfam family "Bacterial small subunit ribosomal RNA", at positions 524 to 796 of the family's 1533-position model. The record is from RNAcentral.